AUGGCAAACGUAUCCGUUGACAAAGAAACGUUCUUUCGACGUAUGAAACGGCUCUAUUCCGCGUGGAAAGAUGGAGAAGUCGGUACAGAUGACAGUUUUAGUAAAAUGGAUUGUCUCGUUUCUGCAGUGGGCACAGACGAGGAUAUCGUUUACAGCAAAUCAACGGCGUUACAAACUUGGCUCCUUAGUUACGAACUUACAGACACUAUAAUGAUCUUAGCAGAAGAGUCUAUUUGCUUCUUAGCUAGCAAGAAAAAAAUUGAAUUUCUAAGGAAACUUGAAAAUCAGAAAGCAGAAGAGACUGGUGUACCCCCUGUGAAACUGCUUGUAAGAGAUAGAAAUGACGAGGAUAAAGCUAAUUUUGCUAAACUUAUUGAGACUAUAAAACAAAGUAAAAAGGGUAAAACAUUGGGUGUUUUUUCAAAAGAAAAUUAUCCAGGUGCCUUUAUGGAUGCAUGGAGAGCUGCUUUGAAAUCAGAAUCUUUUGAUACGGUUGAUGUUAGUGCUGCAGCUGCAUAUGUAAUGUGUCCUAAAGAGGAUGCUGAGAUUCUUACAAUAAAAAAGGCAUGUCUGGUGUCUGUAGAUGUUUUCACAAAGUACCUUAAAGAUCAGAUCAUGGAAAUAAUUGAUUCUGAUAAGAAAGUUAAGCAUUCAAAGCUUGCAGAAGGCGUAGACGCGGCUAUAACGAAUAAGAAAUAUGUAACCGGUGUCGAUGUUACCCAAGUAGAUAUGUGUUAUCCUGCGAUAAUACAGAGCGGUGGAAAUUACUCACUAAAAUUCAGUGUUGUUAGUGAUAAAAAUACUUUGCAUUUCGGUGUCAUUGUAUGUUCUCUCGGAGCACGUUACAAAUCUUAUUGUUCUAACAUAGUUCGGACGUUAUUAGUAAAUCCCACUAAGCAGAUCGAGGAUAAUUAUAACUUCCUUUUACAAUUGGAAGAGGAGAUUCUAAAGAAACUGAUAGCUGGAGUAAAAAUCAGCGAAGUAUAUGAAACAGGUGUGAAAUAUGUAAAGGAUGAGAAACCAGAAAUGCUAGAUCAUUUAACCAAAAAUUUCGGAUUUGCUAUGGGUAUUGAAUUUAGAGAGAGUUCGUUACUUAUUGGUCCAAAAACUCAUGCGGUAAUAAAGAAAGGCAUGGUGUUCAAUGUAAAUGUUGGAUUGGCAAAUCUUUCAAAUCCAGAUGCUACUGAGAAGGAAGGAAAAGUCUAUGCUCUUUUUAUUGGCGAUACUGUUAUGGUUAAUGAGGGACAACCUGCGGUAAACUUGACACCAUCGAAGAAAAAGCUGAAAAAUGUUGGGAUAUUUGUUAAAGACGAAGAAGAAGAGGAAGAGGAGGGCAGUGGAAAAGAAAAUGAACCUAAGCCGGAAAUUCUGGGCCGCGGUAAAAGAACAGCGGUGAUAGAAUCGAAAUUAAGAACAGAACAUAGCUCGGAAGAGAAAAGGAAACAGCAUCAGAAAGAACUUGCACAACAAUUGAACGAAGUUGCGAAAGCUCGAUUGGCUCAGCAAUCCGGUGGCAAGGAACAAGAAAAGAUACGAAAAUCAACGAUAUCGUAUAAAAGCCUUAGUCACAUGCCACGGGAACCGGAAGUAAAAGAGCUUAAAUUAUAUGUGGACAAAAAAUAUGAAACUGUAAUUCUACCCAUUUUUGGUAUCCCUGUACCAUUCCACAUAUCCACAAUCAAGAACAUUUCUCAGUCUGUAGAAGGAGAUUAUACGUAUCUCAGAAUAAAUUUUUUUCAUCCUGGUGCGACAAUGGGUCGCAACGAAGGUGGAUCUUAUCCUCAGCCUGAUGCCACCUUCGUUAAAGAAGUAACAUAUCGAAGUACAAACACAAAAGAACCCGGUGAAAUUUCAGCGCCAUCAUCCAAUCUGAACACAGCCUUUAGACUGAUAAAAGAAGUCCAAAAGAAAUUCAAAAACAGGGAAGCAGAAGAAAGAGAAAAAGAGGAUCUCGUGAAACAAGACACUUUAAUAUUGUCACAAAAUAAGGGUAACCCGAAAUUGAAAGACUUGUACAUUCGACCAAACAUUGUCUCAAAAAGAAUGACUGGGGGUUUAGAAGCGCAUGUAAACGGUUUUCGUUACACUUCUGUCAGAGGAGACAAAGUUGAUAUUCUUUACAAUAAUAUUAAGAAUGCCUUUUUCCAACCAUGUGAUGGUGAAAUGAUCAUAUUACUUCAUUUUCAUUUAAAGCAUGCAAUAAUGUUUGGUAAAAAGAAACACGUGGAUGUACAAUUUUAUACCGAGGUCGGUGAAAUUACAACAGAUUUAGGGAAACAUCAACACAUGCACGAUCGUGAUGAUCUUGCCGCGGAACAAUCAGAACGAGAACUUAGGCACAAAUUAAAAACUGCGUUUAAAAGUUUUUGUGAGAAGGUUGAAAGUAUGACGAAGCAAGAAAUUGAAUUCGACACACCGUUUAGAGAACUAGGAUUCCCUGGCGCCCCAUUCCGAAGUACUGUUCUUUUGCAACCAACCAGUGGUUGUUUGGUUAAUCUCACAGAAUGGCCUCCGUUUGUUAUUACUUUAGAGGAUGUUGAACUUGUUCAUUUCGAAAGAGUGCAAUUUCACCUGAAGAAUUUUGAUAUGAUUUUUGUUUUCAAAGAUUAUCAUAGAAAAGUUGCCAUAUUAAAUGCUAUCCCUAUGAACAUGCUGGAUCAUGUAAAGGAAUGGUUGAAUUCAUGCGACAUUAGAUACACAGAGGGUGUACAAUCUUUGAAUUGGACAAAGAUCAUGAAAACGAUCACAGAUGAUCCUGAAGGUUUCUUUGACAAUGGUGGUUGGACCUUCUUGGAUCCAGAAAGUGAUGCAGAAAAUGAAGAUCUGGAAGAUGAAGAAGAAGAAGAGGAUGAUGCUUACGAGCCAACUGAUUUGGACAGCGAAGAAGAAUCCGACGAUGACUCUGAAUACUCUGAAGCUUCGGAAGACUCUGAUAGCGAAGAAGAAGAACUAGGUAGCUCUGAAGAAUCAGGUAAAGACUGGUCAGACUUGGAACGAGAAGCAGCUGAAGAAGAUAAAGAAAGAGGGGAAGAUGGAUUCCGCGAUGAUUAUAAUUCUAGCAAGAAAAAGAAAUCAAGUCGAAAACAUUCACCUUCACCUUCAAAGGAUAGGCAUAAUUCAAAACACAAAAGUUCUUCCAGUUCGAAAAGUAAAAGUUCGUCCAGUAGUAAAGAUAAAAAAUCAUCGUCAUCCGAUAAGCACAGAUCGGAUCGAUCGCGGAGCGGGAGAUCACACAAGAAAGUAUCUCCUUCUACGUCAUCCAAACACAGUCCUAAGAAGAGUGAUAGACACGACAAACAUGAUAAACGCGACAAACAUAAAUCGUCCAGCCAUUCUUCAUCUAACAGUAAGAAACGAUCUCGCGAAGAGAGUUCAGAAAGAAACGACAGAGGAUCAAAGAAAUCUAAAAAAUGAGAACAAUUAUCCAAAUAUGAGAGAUAAAAGCACACCUGAAAACACGAACAUCAUGUUGGUUCUACAUUAAGCUUUCUUACUUGUGGGCUAGAGAAAUUUUUACAAGGAAACGAUGACAAUCGGGGAAGAAAGAAACGAAUCUAAUUUCGUCCUAUCUGAUCGAUCUGAGUCUGAAGAUUGUUCACGACUUCCGGAGGAACGUGCUCUCCCAGAAUUUCAAAAAGAUUGAUCUUUUGAUCACCAGGAAUUGAUUCGUAUGCAGCCAGUUCUAUACCCUCUUGUACCUUUUGUAUUGUCGCAUCUUUUGGAAUAAGAUAGGUAUUCUGUGCUUGUUUUAUAGCCUCGUUACUAAAAAUUUGACCAUCUUUUUGAGGAAAUGUUACCGCUGAUGCUAUCACGGAUAACAAUAUUAACAGUGUACGGAUUUCCAUCUGAAAAGGAAACAAAUACUGAUUAGCUACUUUUUGUUUCACUUCUAUCUUUUAAUAAUUGUAUUAUAUUUACCGUCUCCUAUAUUGAAUUGUACAAAUUUUCAUUGAUAUUCUUCAUGUUAAGACUUACGAAUGUGUACAAGUGCGAUUUAGUAAAAUAUUAUAAUACAAAUAUAGUACUUAAUAGAAUAAGUACAAAUUACAAGAACAUUACUUUUUGCUAGUGACAAUUUACUGUAAUUCAGUUUCCCAUAAAUGAAAGAAAUAGUAGCAGUAGAUGAAUUAACAUUUUAUAAUUUUGAACAGCUCAUUAAUUUUAAUUCUUUAGAAGGUUGCUUCCACACUUUCACUAUAAGAUGGUAAGUGAUGCCAGGUAAGUAACGUGGACGACGUACUUUCUCACCCGUUUGGUCUUAAACAGAAGUUAGAAAUAUUAACUUACGUUUAUUCACUGUCAAAGCCGUGCGAAUGUAAAGCAGUGAGAACGUUGGUCGACCGUUGAUAACUAACAGAAAGAAAGUAUAGUUCCCAGCUGAUUCCACGCAACUCGUUAACGUUCCAGGGUUAAUUGGUAAAAGGAAGUAGGUCUCGCAAUCGCAAAAAACCGAUCUGGGAUGAAUGUUGCUCACGUUGGGAGUAUCGUGUUUCACAAUCGGUUGCCACGAAGCGAAACUAAGCGCGCGGCCGGCAGAAGCGGCUUUUAUACUGGAGAUGGUCACUGUGGUUGCGGUAGCACACCACUCUUGGGCAUACAGUAAAGAUCCACCUUCCAAUUUCUUAAAAGUUGCAGGAAGAGACGCGUGAUCAUCACUUUUGCUUUCGUUUGCCCGGCGAACCGUUCAUUCUUGGUGAACGAUAAAUGGUAACAUUGGUUCGCAAUCGAUGCGGUAUUACCGUAAUGUCACGUUUCACGGUUCAUUGAAAUAACUGCAAUUCAUGGCUAUUUAUCUAGCACGAGUUUUUGCAAGUUUCUUGUGAAAAAUAUGAUUGCCUGUUCUGUAGAGAUUAUACAGAGCAAGUUGCAUAUAUUGAUUAUAAGCAGAGGUACUUUGGAUUCAACAAAGCCGUUACACGAUGUAACUCUUUUAACCAUUUCUCUUUACGCUUUUACAAAUACCAUUGCACGACCCGCCAUGAAUAUUAGUGACCUGUUAACCAAUAUGUAGUGAUUGAAAUAAACUCGUUUCACUUUUACCAUUGUCCUCAGGCUAGUAACAAGAUUCAAGUGUGUUGCUUACAUAGUAUUAAUGCCCCAACCUUUCCAUAAAAUAUUUUAUUUUUUCAAUCGUCUAACCUGCGAAAUUUAUCAGCAAUAAAUAGCAACAAAUUUGCAGCGCUAAAAAUUAAACGAGAUUCUUGUAAAUAAACUGUGUAGGUAUAAAAAAGCUUGAAAUAUUAAUCCAUAAAUUAUACAGCAAUAAAUUGAAGCCAAUUUAGAAAUUCCUUGUAUAGAUUUGGAGUGGUCGCAAUUUAUUAUGCAUGUAUAAACUAUACAUUGAUUUGUGUAUCAUAAAUAUAAGACGGAAAAUGAAUUUAUUCAUCAUCAUAGAUUCAAUUCUUUGUUAAUUUUAUCUUAAUUAAACAUUAAUUUACGGGUAUUAAUCUUUAAAAUGCAAUUAUUUUAAAUAGUAUAUGCUGGAAAUUUUGCCAAAUGUGGAUGUUGUAUAUCGAUCAAGAAAUAAAUAGUACCGGCAAGACCUAUAAUAAUACAUACGUAUACUAUUAAAAAAUACUAACAGUGGGAUACAUAUGAUAACUGAUAGUAAAAUACCUUCAAACAAUGAAUAUGGUCUAUCAGGAAUCCUAGUCUGAUGUGCUUUAUAAUCCGUACACCACUCUGCAAACCUACAAGCCCUAUAUAGAUGUUUCACAUCCUGAAAAGCAAUACCAAUAUUUGAUUAGGACUUAUUGCAAUAUUGUUAUAUUCUUUUAUAAAUUAAAUGUAACCUUAGUCUUUUGGAAGAGGGUUAAGAAUGUAUAUGCAUUUCCAGCUGCUCCAUGACAUAUUCCACACCCUUUUUUAAGCAAACCUCUUGCCCAAACUACUUCUCCGCAUUGUAAAGCAGUAUUUAAAUACUGCUCAUCCUGAUAUAUCUGCUCAAAUAGACAUUUAAUUAAAUACAAACAACUUAACAAAAUCGGAAACAACAUCAAUCAAAUAGUGACCACCUCAUAAGCCAAAGUAAAUAACAUAAUCAUUCCAGGCGCUCCAUGGCACCAAUGCACCAAUUUAUCAGUACGACUUCCAAUAGAAGAUGGACAAUUUCCAGAAGGAUACCGUAAACUCUGAAGAAAAUCUAAUGCCGGUUUUAUGUCUCUUGUCAGUUGACUCUGUGUUAAAUACUGCCGUGCCUACGGAAUAAAUGUGUUUCUGUGUAAUCUAUAUUAUUACUUAAGUAAAUUACAAAAGUAAAA
Molecule: RNA transcript, 6260 nt
Organism: Osmia lignaria (orchard mason bee)
Lineage: Eukaryota; Metazoa; Arthropoda; Insecta; Hymenoptera; Megachilidae
Gene: dre4
Gene name: SPT16 homolog, facilitates chromatin remodeling subunit dre4
Source: RefSeq, a predicted model, not a curated record